Long non-coding RNA from Dalotia coriaria, 241 nucleotides. RefSeq lists it as uncharacterized. The record is from RefSeq and is a predicted model, not a curated record. NCBI's taxonomy places the organism in Eukaryota, Metazoa, Arthropoda, Insecta, Coleoptera, Staphylinidae. The transcript has 3 exons.
UAAUGUUCGGAAGUGCCGGUUUUUGAUAGCGUUUGUUAUGUAAAUUACAAGUCACGUGAUAGUGGAUUUGAUAACAUUCUUCACUCGACAUUGUGUUUGGUGUCGGUUACUAAAUCGGAUAUAUAUCGUCCCCACGUUGAUUCUCAGCAUUAAGAAAAAUCCACCAGGCUCGUUUACAGCACUUUUUGUGCCUGGCAGUCCGAUAAGGUGUACACUGUUAUGGUUUGACAUUCAAUCGACU